This 1162-nucleotide long non-coding RNA is filed under the name Nothobranchius furzeri (turquoise killifish). RNAcentral's name for it is "lncRNA (ENSNFUG00015003266.1)". The record is from RNAcentral. Lineage: Eukaryota; Metazoa; Chordata; Actinopteri; Cyprinodontiformes; Nothobranchiidae.
ACACACACACACACAGGCUCACGACAGCAUUGUGACAUCAUAAUGUACCAGUUUACAUCAUAGCAUACCUCUUAGCCAAUAGCGGUGGCAGAUUUAAAUUAGAAUACAGUGCAGAGUUUUUACCUGACAACGGCACAACACUGCCAGUUUUAGGCAGAAUAUUUAAAAUUUAACUAAGAUGCACUGAAGUGCCAAAUUAUUGACUACACGUGUCUGCAGCAUGAUUAGACACUCGCUUAUUUAGUUUAUCAGCAAAAAAACAUUUAUUUGGGGGUGACUUGCUCUUUAACUAAAUCACUGAUCAUCCUUUCUCUGUUGCCAGAGCAACGCUCUGUCCUUUUCCCAUCUAAUCACAGUCCUAUCGCGAGACUACGCCAUCUCUACAAGUCUGAGCUGGUUAGGUAUCGCGGGAAUACAACAGGAGGCAAGGCAGUGACGUAAUCGCCGUCGCGAGCUCGCGAGGCGGAGCGAACCGCUGCAACUUUGGUUGAACUUCUGAUUUGAACGAAGCUGGAGGCGGUACCCGGAUCCCACGGACAGCUGUAGCUCCCCGGAGGCUUUUUCGCUCUUCGGGUGACUUGAUUUCUGUCACGGUUUGCGUUUGUCCGCGACUGACCGGCGAGAGCGUUAUUUUCCUUCUUCUGGAGACCGACACGGAGGGAGUUAUUAAAGGGUUUCCGUGCAGCUGUUCUAGGAGUUGGCAUCCAGUUUUCCACACGGAGAUCUCUUCACACAGGAAUCCAAUGCAGAUGGCUUUUUAGAGACUUCAGCAGUGAAAAUCUGCAACAGCAUCUUUAGUUUCAAGCUGUAGCUCUUCAGAGGUAAACUGUCGUAUUAAUGUUUUAGUUUAUAAAGUUUUUGUUGGUCACUGUUGGUCAUUUUAAAUGUGCUUUAUAAAGUUUAGUAACGUUUUUCUAAGCUAGCCUGAGUUUAGUGUUUUUUUACGAAUCCGUCUACGUUGAUGUAUAACUGAAAGUAGGGGUAAUGGUACUGAAUUUUUUUUUAAAAGUUCUACUUAGAAACUGCAUCUUUGUUACGUUUCUUUUUCUGCAGCUCCAGAUGUGAACGUCUCUCAUCACUUCCCUCCGUGGGCAUCAUGAUGUCUCAAAUCUAAAACCGUCAGCAUCCUAUCUUUACCUUUUCCUCCCACCUCCCCUCCCCA